This 310-nucleotide long non-coding RNA is filed under the name Homo sapiens (human). RNAcentral describes it as "HSALNT0398810". The record is from RNAcentral. Lineage: Eukaryota; Metazoa; Chordata; Mammalia; Primates; Hominidae.
GGCUCCAAAGUGGUGCCCUGGGAGAUGAGGGCGACUCGCAGAUUCCACCCUAUUCUCUGAAUGGGCUUCGAGUCUCCAUGGUAACGGCCCCUCCCAGUUCCCCUGUGACUUCAUAGCUGCCCACGGGAGGGGAGAAAGCUGAUGUGAAGGGGCUGUGGGUUCUCAGCCAAGCUCUGUCUUUGAGGCCACCUACCCUAUACCACUCGUCCCGGAAAGGGUGGUGGUUGUGAGAAUUAAGGGAACCUCAGAGCAAUGGCCAGCACACAAUGACCCUUCAAAUGUCAGCGGCUUUGAUGAUCACCAUUCUUAC